GAUGAACGCUGGCGGCGUGCCUAAUACAUGCAAGUCGAGCGAACGGACGAGAAGCUUGCUUCUCUGAUGUUAGCGGCGGACGGGUGAGUAACACGUGGAUAACCUACCUAUAAGACUGGGAUAACUUCGGGAAACCGGAGCUAAUACCGGAUAAUAUUUUGAACCGCAUGGUUCAAAAGUGAAAGACGGUCUUGCUGUCACUUAUAGAUGGAUCCGCGCUGCAUUAGCUAUUUGGUAAGGUAACGGCUUACCAAGGCCACGCUGCAUAGCCGACCUGAGAGGGUGAUCGGCCAAACUGGAACUGAGACACGGUCCAGACUCCUAGGGGAGGCAGCAGUAGGGAAUCUUCCGCAAUGGGCGAAAGCCUGACGGAGCAACGCCGCGUGAGUGAUGAAGGUCUUCGGAUCGUAAAACUCUGUUAUAGGGAAGAACAUAUGUGUAAGUAACUGUGCACAUCUUGACGGUACCUAAUCAGAAAGCCACGGCUAACUACGUG
RNAcentral lists this ribosomal RNA (496 nucleotides) under uncultured bacterium. RNAcentral's name for it is "partial 16S ribosomal RNA". It matches the Rfam family "Bacterial small subunit ribosomal RNA", at positions 28 to 507 of the family's 1533-position model. The record is from RNAcentral.